RNAcentral lists this long non-coding RNA (1109 nucleotides) under Phasianus colchicus (ring-necked pheasant). RNAcentral describes it as "lncRNA (ENSPCLG00000021043.1)". Lineage: Eukaryota; Metazoa; Chordata; Aves; Galliformes; Phasianidae. The record is from RNAcentral.
UUGUUGUCACUUACAGUUGUCAUUUACUGUUUUCUCUUUUAGGUGCUUCAGAAAAAGCAUUUUCUGCAUGGAAGCCCUCCAUUGGUUCUUCCUCUAGGACAUCACACUCAGAUGGCAUCAAGAAUUUUGAAGAUUCCAUGGGUUUUGCAACAUAAUAAACAGAUGUGGAAAAGAACAAUGAAAAACAAGAAAAGACAAGGACAUUCACCUAAUCCUGAGGAAAUCCAAAUUAGCUUAUGACAAAUAUGAAUAUUUUUACUCUUUUACACACAGUAUUUUAUCUGAAUGAGCAUUCAGCAAGUCUCCUUUAUCAGUAAAUGUGGGGAAAAAAAGGUCACUCAUUUUACUUCAUGCAGGGGAAGAUCCCACAGAAGGAGGAGGCUCAUACAGGGAACAAGAGAAAAUUGGACACUCACCCCUACCCUACAUUUUACUUGCAUACCAAAUAUGGAGGAUUGAGUUUAUCCUCUUUACCUCCAAAACAGACAAUACUUCAAAAACACAUCUUAAAGAUGGUAUCUUUUUUUUCCCAUUUCCCUCUCUUCCUUUAUGUCUCCUCUUCCUCUUCAGAGUUCCUCUCUAUUCUUUUCCCAUCCAUUAGGUAAAAUAAUUCGGAUGACCACAGUCACAAUAACAUACUUUCAGUCCAAUAUAUAACAUUUGGAUAUCUUCUAGCAAAAUCUUUCAUGCUUCAUUUUAUCACCUGUGAGAAACACCAUUAGACUCACACUUGAUACCUCAUAGAAAAAGAUUUGACAUCUGCUUUUCCAAAUUGGAAUGCAAGGCACCUUACAGUAUUAAACACACAUGGUGCAUUAAUACCAACAGCUGAAAAUCUAGUUGUGUAAAAAAGUACGAUUUAAAGUGCAAAUAGAUUUAAUAUCUUUAAUAUUACAUUCCCAAUCUACCUUUGACUAAAAAAAAAAAAAUCUGUGAGAGUCAUACUCUACAGUUAUUAUUAAAAUUUAUUAUAUUAUUAAAUAUUUAUAGACAUGACUAAAAAUCUCAUUAAGCAUAGCAUUGGUGUGAUAAUAGAGUUCAUAAAAACAUUGCUCUGUUUUUCCUGAUUAGUUCUCAUACACUUUUCUCACCAGUCUCUUUAAUUUGUU